Molecule: ribosomal RNA, 492 nt
Filed under: uncultured bacterium
Lineage: Bacteria
Description: partial 16S ribosomal RNA
Rfam family: Bacterial small subunit ribosomal RNA
Source: RNAcentral
AGUGAACGCUGGCGGUAGGCCUAACACAUGCAAGUCGAGCGGCAGCACAGUAAGAGCUUGCUCUUACGGGUGGCGAGUGGCGGACGGGUGAGGAAUACAUCGGAAUCUACUUUUUCGUGGGGGAUAACGUAGGGAAACUUACGCUAAUACCGCAUACGACCUACGGGUGAAAGCAGGGGAUCUUCGGACCUUGCGCGAUUGAAUGAGCCGAUGUCGGAUUAGCUAGUUGUCGGGGUAAAGGCCCACCAAGGCGACGAUCCGUAGCUGGUCUGAGAGGAUGAUCAGCCACACUGGAACUGAGACACGGUCCAGACUCCUACGGGAGGCAGCAGUGGGGAAUAUUGGACAAUGGGCGCAAGCCUGAUCCAGCCAUACCGCGUGGGUGAAGAAGGCCUUCGGGUUGUAAAGCCCUUUUGUUGGGAAAGAAAAGCGGCAGGUUAAUACCCCGCUGUUCUGACGGUACCCAAAGAAUAAGCACCGGCUAACUUCGUG